CGGGAUGUAGCACAGCCAGGUAGUGCACUCGUUUAGGGUGCGAGGGGUCGCUGGUUCAAAUCCAGUCAUCCCGACAA
RNAcentral lists this transfer RNA (77 nucleotides) under Raineya orbicola. Its description in RNAcentral is "tRNA-Pro". It matches the Rfam family "tRNA". Rfam says of the family: Transfer RNA (tRNA) molecules are approximately 80 nucleotides in length. The record is from RNAcentral. Lineage: Bacteria; Pseudomonadati; Bacteroidota; Cytophagia; Cytophagales; Raineyaceae.